UUGACCAAUACGGACGUGUUUUUAAAGCGCUCUGAAAAAAGUUUUGACUUUUAAAUUUUUUUUACUAUGACAGAAUCUUAGUUGACUGAUGGUCUUUGACAAAGACAGACUUGUUUUUGUGAGCUAUGAAAAAAAUUUGACUUUGAAAUAUUUUUACGAUUAAAAAGUUUCAGUUCACUUUUGAACGUUGACGAAGACGGACGUACUUUCGUGAGCUCUGACUAUUGAUGAAAAGUUUUGAGUUUUACUGACUUGUACUUUGAGAGUAAAAUUGACUUCGCGUUAUAGAAUAGCGACUUGGUACUCAGGUUGUUGAAUGACUGGAUGACUGAAGUGUUAGGUUAUUGUUAUGAGAUAACAACUUGACUUUGACUUGAGUUGUGAAAUGAAAUCAUACUCUUAUGCGAUGUUAACUUUUGAACGUUUAGUAUUGACUGACAACGAAAUUUUGUGAGCGUUAUAUAUGAAAUGUUUGACUUACAUUAAUUUUUUUGAACGACUUGACUUCACUUUAAGUUUUGACAUCGGACUGAUCGGACGUGUUUUUUUAAGCUCUGACUGUUGUGAAUAAUUAAAUUUAUGUUGUGGUGUCAAGCGAUUGACUGUCAGUUGAGGUUCAGAUGUCGAGCUGUGCGGACGUGUUCAUCGAGCUGCUGUCUACAAAAAACGGUGCUGUGGUGAGUACUGUAGAUUGUAGUGCAUAUGUAUAGAAUUCAAUAAAAGAUUAUGACUGAAAACUGCUUUUGAUUCUUAUUGUACAGUUUUAGGGAUUAUAAGUCUAUAGCAACUCUGUCGGUUGGUGUUCAUGAGUGUGAGCUUAAUACAGCAAUGUUUGAGUAGUACAAAAAUGUUUUCGCUUUUGUGGUCGCCAGCUGUCCGUGAUCUGUAAAGUGAAAAUACACAGAGCUAUGAAGCAUACAAAUGUUUCGAAAUUUUAUCAAUGAUUGUAUACUAUGCAUGUUUUGAUUUAGUUCGUUUCAGAUUUGACAUGAGAUGAAAACCUGACAUGAUUUGAACAGAGCUGGGAAACGAAAAGAUUUUCAGAUGUGUGCUGGCAGUUCAAGUCUGGCAGCUGGAGUGAACAGUCGUGUUUUCUGGAGCUCCAACAAUAUGCUAGAAGGAGUGCUUAUCCAGUGAUGAUAUGACAGUUGGAGUGAACAGUGGAGCCAAGCAGUCUUGUUUUUGGAGCUACUCAACAAGCCUUGAAGGUAAGUUUAGAAUUUCUCAAUGUUAGUGAAUUGAAGUACUGUCACUUGCUUUUGGACAGUCGAACAGAACAGACGUGGUUGCGAGAGCUCUCAUAUCUGUUGUGUUAAACUGUUUUUAUGAUAUGUUAUGUUUGUUUGUUUGUUUGUUGGUGUUGUACUAUUUUUCAGAUGCUGUUGUCAGUGAUGGGUUUUCAAGCUGACCUGAACAGAAAAGCAAUCAUAUGGUAAGUACAAAUAGUUGUUAUAUGGGAUGUUUUGUGCAUGCUUUUAUGUUUCAGGUGUACUUGCAGUUAGAGACGAAGACGAUUCAAGAAGAGGACCAUAGGUCAGAAAGUGGAUGGAACAUACAAAGGGUAAGUUGAACCUGUGUUUUUGUUUGAUUUUUACCAUGCAUACUUUGCUUUGCUCUGUUUCAGAUUUCACAUGCAGAAAUUAAACAGGAUUUCAACUGCUGAGACACAAUUCAUCAAAAGUAAGGUAAGUUUUAAUUCAUUGAUUUGAGUUGUACAAUGUGUUCUUUACUUUAUUUCAGAUUCGAGUCACUGGUUUACACAUGGAAGAAGAUUUCCACGUCGGUUACUCAACUCUACAGAAGCAAGGUAAGUCGAUCAAAUUUUUGUUUUCAUUUGUACUGCUGUAAUGUGAUAGUAAACUUAUGCUAUUUUUCAUGUGUGUCAUGUACAGAUGGAUAAUUCAAGUUUGAUCUGUGUUGGUUUAUGUUCAAAAACGUUUUACAUGUAUGUGUGUUUUCAGAUGUUUUGUUUCAGUUGAUGUCCAGAUGGCAAGCAGUACAGACGUGUUUCUUGGAGCUGCCAAACAGGAGCUGUGGUAAGUAUUGUAGUAUUAAUUUGUCUCAAUAAACGAUGAUGAAUGAAAACUGAUGUCGAUUCUUUUUGUACAGUUUUAGGUAUUAGCACUCUAUACAAAACUCUGUCGGUCGGUGUUUGUGAAUGUGAGCUUAAUCUUUGAGUAGAACAAAAAUGUCUUUACUUUUGUGAUCGCCAGUUGUCUGUGAUGUAAAGUGGAAAAAACACAGCUAUGAAGCAUACAAUUGUUUCAAUAUUUUAUCAAUGAUAGUGUGCUAUGCAUGUUUUGAUUUAGUUCGUUUCAGAUACGACAUGACAUGAAGAGUUGACAGUCGAACAGAGCUGAGCAAAGCAGAAAGGUAAGUGUGUUUCAUUUUAGUAUGAACACUUGUAUUUUGUUUUUAUAUGGUAUGUUUUGUGCAUGCUAUGUUUCAGGUGUACUUGUAGUCAGCGACGAAGACGAUUCAAGAAGAGGAACAUUGCUGAGAAAGUGAAUGGGACUUGCAAACAGGGUAAGUGUUACAAUUGUUCUUUUGAUUUUUGCCAUGCAUACUUUGCUUUGCUCUGUUUCAGAUUUCACAUGCAGAAAUGGUCUCAUAGCAGUGCCAACAGUGAAUAAGGAUUUCAGCUGCUGUGAAACAACUCAACAGAAAGUAGGUAAGCAUUGAAUGAAUGCACUUGAGUUGUACAAUUUGAUGUGAUGCUUUUCUCUGUUUCAGAUUCAAGUUCCUGGUGUAGACAGAGAAAUGUGUUUGAAGAAGGAAUUCUACUACUGUGAUUCAACUCUACAGAAGCAAGGUAAGUAGAAACAAAAUUUUGGUUUAAUUUAACUCAUGUGUUUUGCACUGCAUGCUAUUUUUCAGGUCUCUCACGCAGUGAUGGAAAAGAAGAAGAUUUCAAGAAAGAAUCACUGCUGCAACUCAGGCCUAUAACAAGACUUACAUUGCUGUGACUGUUCCACAGUGGGUCAAAAAAGAGACGAAUACAGGUUUCAAGAAGAAAAUUGGCUGUUGAAAACCUGCACAAAAUAUGAGGUAAGUAAACUAUUCUUUUGGUUUGUUUUGUGCUUUGUUAUGCUUAACUAUUUUUCAGAUUGGAAUGGUGGGUCGUUACAGAGCAGACUUUUGGACAACUGAGAAGUUGAGAAACAGAGAAUGAUUCAAGAUCAGCUAGGUAAGUCUUGAUUAUUGUGCAUUGCUAAAUGUUUUUUUUCAUUCCAGUAUGGCUGUGGUAAGUACACAAACUUUCUAUAAUUUAAUAUUGAACUGUUUUUAUGACCUGUAUUCUGCAUUGUAAAAUGUCUGUUUUUCAUUUCAGUAUCCUGUGGUAAGUACACUAACUUUCUUUAAUUUUCAUAUUGAACUGUUUUGAUGACUUGUAUACUACUAUGCAAUGCCUAAUGUUUUUUUCAUUUCAGUAGCCUGUGGUAAGUACACUAACUUUCUUUAAUUUUCAUAUUGAACUGUUUUGAUGACUUGUAUACUACUAUGCAAUGCCUAAUGUUUUUUUCAUUUCAGUAGCCUGUUGGUAAGUACACUAACUUUCUAUAAUUUCAUAGUGAAUUGUUUUGAUGACCUGUAUUCUGCAUUGUAAAAUGUGUUUCUUUUUCAUUUCAGUAUGGCUGUGGUAAGUACACAAACUUUCUUUAAUUUUCAUAUUGAACUGUUUUGAUGACUUGUAUUCUGCUAAACAAAAUGUGCUUUUUUCAAUUUCAGGUCAGCAAUGGUAAGUAUAGUGUGUUUCUUUAUGUAUAAUUUUGUAUACAUAUUGUUUUUUUUCAUCAUAUCAUGUCUUUCAUAUUUAUGCUUUGUGUAAGUAAAAUGUUCAUAAAUCAUUCUUAUCUUCAAACUAAAAAUGUAUUGUGCUAUGCAAAAUGUCUGUAUGAUUUCAGUUGCCAGAGGUGAGUACCAUAACAGUUGAAAAGUUAGUUUUGUUUAGUUCAAGUUUUGGUUCACAGUUCUGUUUGUUAUUUGGCAAAAUUUACAUGUAUGCAUUGAGUCUUGAUUUCAGCUCGAUUGUGGACUGAAGAAGAUUGCCAGCAGAGGGAUUGGAUACAAAAUACAAAGUAAGUACUGAGUUUCUUACUAAAAGUUUUGAGUUGUAUUCAUUGUGUGUAAAUAUGCUAUGAUUGCUAUGAACAUGACUUUUGUAUUUCAGCGAAGACAACAUAGGUAAGUAAAAUUGUUAUCUGUUUCAUGUUUACUGUUACAGUUCAAUAUUGUGUUUAUAAAUUUUAAGUUGUACAAACACAUUCAAAAGUUUCUAAUCAUGCUUUCGAUUUCAUUUCAGCUUUACUGCUAGACGAGUGUUCUCUACUACUUGACGAGUCAGCUUUACUACCAGGCGAGCAGUGACAACAAGGCGCCUUUGUGGAAACAACACAACAAAAAACUCUACUGCAAGACGAGCAGUAACAGCAAGGCGCCUGAACAUGCAACACAAUACAAAAAAUGCCAAUUUGCAAACCUUGAUGUGGACACCGAGUAGUCAAUACAUACGUGUGGCGUAUAGCUGCGACAAAACCGUGGGUCCAUCGCACCGAUAACUUGAACAUUGGCCCGUGUAUGGACAUCAGUGCAACUUUGUGAAUCCAUGUAACUUUGUGAAUCCAUGUAACAUUGCGAAUGUGUGUCGAUCGAAAAAUGUGUACAUUCUGCACUGAAACGAACUCGGUGUUGCAAGUGGCAAGUGUUGACAGUGUGUAUGUUUAUGUUUAUGUUUUUACAUGAAAAAUAAAGGAGAUUGUUCUCCUACCUUUUUUUUCCUUGUUUUAUUGUGCUGGCCAGCAAUAUUGAUGUAUUGAUGUAUUGAUGUAUGUGUUUGUGUAUUAACGAUGUAUUAACUAUGCAUUACCAAAAUCAAACAAAACUUUGGCACAAGAGACUCUAAGUAUCAAAUACCAACAAUUUAAGCGCAGACAAUCACAUGGUGGUACACCAGUCCGAAUAUACUCAUUGCUCUAGCCAGGAUUGCAAAUUACUUGUGUUGACUAGCAAGGCUCCCUAGUAACGGAGCAGUGUUACUGGCGUUUUUUGGGUCGAUAGUGCUUAGGUGAGGUUUUGCUCGAAUCGGGAGCGGGUCACUCGCUUGGGCGAGUUAGUUUUCGCUCGUAGUUUCCAAUCUGGCUAGAUCAAUGUAAGGUUGUUUUGACUGCUAUUUGGCAAGCAGAAAGACAACAGCGGUUAAUUGACUGAGUAUGGGCGACCGAGGUAUGUAGGUGUCAAUAGACCGACUCCACAAGUUGCGAAGCGAACCGAUAGCACUUGAGGGGAAACGCCUCGGUUUUCGGUUCUAACAUGUGUUAUCCAUGCUGUCGUUAUACUCUGGCAAGGCUCCUCAAUCUAUCGCGAGGGACACUCAUUAUUGCCCGCAAGCUUUAGAACCUGACGUGGGUCGAUGCGUAUGCGAGUCCGAGGACGCGAUGGCAUUUGAUAAGGCUACCAACCGGUUGAUAACACGCAUUGUUCAAAUUGUUAGGUUUAAGUCUGCUAGGGCUGGGGUGGGAA
Dreissena polymorpha is the source of this 5520-nucleotide long non-coding RNA. RefSeq lists it as uncharacterized. Lineage: Eukaryota; Metazoa; Mollusca; Bivalvia; Myida; Dreissenidae. The record is from RefSeq and is a predicted model, not a curated record. The transcript is spliced from 8 exons.